GACAGGGGCACCUGAUCCAGCAUGCCGCGUGAUGAGAAGGCCUUCGGGUUGUAAAGCUCUUUGUCAGGAAGAAACACCGGCUCUAACACAGUCCGGGAAUGACGGUACCUGAAGAAUAAGCACCGGCUAACUACGUGCCAGCAGCCGCGGUAAUACGUAGGGUGCGAGCGUUAAUCGGAAUUACUGGGCGUAAAGCGUGCGCAGGCGGUUGUACAAGACAGGCGUGAAAUCCCCGGGCUUAACCUGGGAAUGGCGCCUGUGACUGUAUAGCUAGAGUGUGUCAGAGGGGGGUAGAAUUCCACGUGUAGCAGUGAAAUGCGUAGAUAUGUGGAGGAAUACCAAUGGCGAAGGCAGCCCCCUGGGAUAACACUGACGCUCAUGCACGAAAGCGUGGGGAGCAAACAGGAUUAGAUACCCUGGUAGUCCACGCCCUAAACGAUGCUGACUAGUUGUUCGGGAUUUACAUCCUGAGUAACGUAGCUAACGCGUGAAGUCAGCCGCCUGGGGAGUACGGUCGCAAGAUUAAAACUCAAAGGAAUUGACGGGGACCCGCACAAGCGGUGGAUGAUGUGGAUUAAUUCGAUGCAACGCGA
Molecule: ribosomal RNA, 593 nt
Filed under: uncultured bacterium
Lineage: Bacteria
Description: bacterial SSU rRNA
Rfam family: Bacterial small subunit ribosomal RNA
Source: RNAcentral